Liolophura sinensis is the source of this 1721-nucleotide long non-coding RNA. RefSeq lists it as uncharacterized. NCBI's taxonomy places the organism in Eukaryota, Metazoa, Mollusca, Polyplacophora, Chitonida, Chitonidae. The record is from RefSeq and is a predicted model, not a curated record. The transcript has 3 exons.
AUGAAGAUGAUGAGUUGUUGUUGUCACUGACGACUGACCUGUUAUCACCUCAGGCUGUCAAGCCUACCCCUGUGCUCUCGGACUUUAUUGAUGAUACUGACCCAAGGUUAGCGGUACCUGAGCAGCCAGAGAAUCCAGAGCUUGAGCGUGAGAUUGCCCAGAGAUACCGACGCAAAAAAGCAAUGAGGGCCAGGUCAAGGUCAACCCUUCCAAGGCCCAAAUGUUUUUCCAGUCAAGAUGGAAACCAACUUAUGCAAAACGAAAGUGAAAGUGAAAAGGCCUUUGCAGGUCAGAGGUCAGAGUUGAGUGUGAAUCUUGCAAGUGAAAGUAAAAGUGGAGGACAGACUUCAAGCCAAGGUAUCUGUGAUAUUCAAAGUGAAAUUGAAAGGAAGUCUGCUGUUCUAAGGCUAAAUGCAGGAACUUUGCAGGGAUUCGAGGACAAAACUAGUGAAAAACAGAAUUUUGACUGCAAAGUGUCUGGCGAGGAUGAAAAACAUACAGUACCUUCAGUAUUAUUGGAUGAGGGAGAUGAGAUGUCAAGGCCAGGUAAGUCACUCUCUGAAGAUUCAAGGCCACCGGGGUCAAAGUUCACAGAGAGUGACACAGACUCACCUGUGCCUUGUGUAAAUAAUAAAUUACCGUCUUCCGUUGGGAGUGCUUGUGAAAGUCACCAUCAUGUGGAUGAAGGCUUGGCACACCCACUUGAUUCUGAAACAGUUUCACAAAAAGUGGAAGUUCAGAGCAACUCUGAAAACAGCGAUGAAAUGAGACGGUCUCCAGUCUUAGCAAAUGGUAUGCUGUUACAUGAAAAGUUUGUUGAACCUAAUGUUAAUCAACCUACUGUGGAUCAUACUGACAGGUUUCUAGAAUCGGGGCAAAAACCUCAGAGUUCUGUGUUUCCCAAAACCGACACGGAUAUUGCAGAAUAAUUCCAGCGCAGAGAGUAAGCUUACGCCUUAUGAAAUGUCUGUCUGUGUAGACAAGCUCAGUCCAAGAAAAACGGAGACAUUGGAAAGAUUUACUCUGCCAAACAAAUUCACAUAGCUAAAUCUGACAGUGAAUUAGGAGAGGAGGAAAGCAUUAGGAGCCUUCAAACUCAGCCGUCUAAGGAAUUAGAGUGUAGAAAUAGUGAAAUAUUGAAUGGUUCGACUGGACAGAUUGACAUGCAUAGGGUGUCAAACAAAGUAAAUAACUCUGCUGAAAACACACACUCAGGGCGAAACAACCAGGUUUCGUCCUCUGUAGUCCCACAAGUUCACUACAAGAAGAGAAAUUCCACAGAAGCUGAACAACGACGACAUAAAGCGGUGAUACCUAAGAGCGUUUUGAAAGAAAAUGGCUCAGGGAAGGGAGGUAACCCUCUCAGGGGCUAGUAAUCCAUGCCUUGUUUCUACAUCAUCACAGAUCAGCCAUGUCGAAGGCAACAGAUAUAACCAAAGGACAAAUCUCCAGUCCACUAAAGGUUUAUCCGGAUCCAAGCCAUCGUUGUUCAAUUCUGCCAAGGCUAAGAUUCAGUCUCUGAGAAAAGCUAAGAGCAUGGGACCAAUUGCAUCAGCCAGAUACGGAGAUAGACAAAGAGAACCAGCUUAACGCUGUCCUAACGAUGUCAUCACAUCACCAUGGUGACCUGCCUCCGCCCCCACCUCAUCCCGGACGGGUGAAGAAGUCAACGUCUUUUAAGUCACUUUUGAAUUUUGGCAGGAAGCCAAAAGACGGAUCGC